GAUGAACGCUGGCGGCGUGCCUAAUACAUGCAAGUCGAGCGAACAGACGAGGAGCUUGCUCCUCUGACGUUAGCGGCGGACGGGUGAGUAACACGUGGAUAACCUACCUAUAAGACUGGGAUAACUUCGGGAAACCGGAGCUAAUACCGGAUAAUAUAUUGAACCGCAUGGUUCAAUAGUGAAAGACGGUUUUGCUGUCACUUAUAGAUGGAUCGGCGCCGCAUUAGCUAGUUGGUAAGGUAACGGCUUACCAAGGCAACGAUGCGUAGCCCACCUGAGAGGGUGAUCGGCCACACUGAAACUGAGACACGGUCCAGACUCCUACGGGAGGCAGCAGUAGGGAAUCUUCCGCAAUGGGCGAAAGCUUGACGGAGCAACGCCGCAUGAGUGAUGAAGGUCUUCGGAUCGUAAAACUCUGUUAUUAGGGAAGAACAAAUGUGUAAGUAACUAUGCACGUCUUGACGGUACCUAAUCAGAAAGCCACGGCUAACUACGUG
RNAcentral lists this ribosomal RNA (497 nucleotides) under uncultured bacterium. Its description in RNAcentral is "partial 16S ribosomal RNA". It matches the Rfam family "Bacterial small subunit ribosomal RNA", at positions 28 to 507 of the family's 1533-position model. The record is from RNAcentral.